UUGCGGUUAAAAAGCUCGUAGUUGGAUUUCUGUUGAGAACAGGCGGUCCACCUUUUGGGUGAGUAUCUGCAUUGGUCUCGGCAUCUUCUCGAAAUACGUUUCUGCGCUUGAUUGCGUGGUGCGGAGUUCGGGACUUUUACUUUGAGGAAAUUAGAGUGUUCACGGCAGGCAUACGCCUUGAAUAUAUUAGCAUGGAAUAAUAAUAUAGGAUCUUGGUUCUAUUUGUUGGUUUCUAGGGCUAAGGUAAUGAUUAAUAGGGAUAAUUGGGGGCAUUUGUAAUAACGCGUCAGAGGUGGAAUUCUUGGAUUGCGUUACGACAAACUACUGCGAAAGCAUUUGCCAAGGAUGUUUUCAUUGAUCAAGAACGAAAGUAUGGGGAUCGAAGAUGAUUAGAUACCGUCCGUAGUCUAUACCAUAAACCUAUGCCGACUAGGGAUUGGAGGUCGUUCUUUUUAUGACUCCUUCAGCACCUUAUGAGAAAUCAAAGUCUUUGGGUUCCCGGGGGGAGUAUAGUCGCAAGGCCUGA
This 526-nucleotide ribosomal RNA is filed under the name uncultured marine eukaryote. Its description in RNAcentral is "bacterial SSU rRNA". It matches the Rfam family "Eukaryotic small subunit ribosomal RNA", at positions 613 to 1141 of the family's 1831-position model. The record is from RNAcentral.